GAAUUCUUACUGGCAAACCUCCUGCCACCGUCUCUUGGAGUAUUGGAUGACAGGUACCGUGAGUUUGGAGAGGAGGCUCUGAGAGCAGCCUCUGCUCUCAACAAAGAGGUGAUGAAGCAUACAGUGACAGCAGAACAUACACUGAGGGGCUGGAGUAGAGGAAGCAGAGUGAAGACGUGGACUGGUUUCAGAUCAAAUCAUCCACAAUCCAUUCGGCCCACACCAUUGCAGAGGUGGAGCCUGCACCAUGAAUUCUGAGAAGAGUGGUGAUGACUGAGACGGGGUGAGGCCAGGGAACGAUAGGUGCAGAGGCUUUAAAAACAAGAAUAAAACCAACCUAACACCGAAUCUAUGAAUUAUCAU
Molecule: long non-coding RNA, 363 nt
Organism: Microtus oregoni (creeping vole)
Lineage: Eukaryota; Metazoa; Chordata; Mammalia; Rodentia; Cricetidae
Exons: 3
Source: RefSeq, a predicted model, not a curated record